AAGCGACAGAUAACAGGAUGCA
This 22-nucleotide non-coding RNA is filed under the name Arabidopsis thaliana (thale cress). The record is from RNAcentral. Lineage: Eukaryota; Viridiplantae; Streptophyta; Magnoliopsida; Brassicales; Brassicaceae.